GACGAACGCUGGCGGCGUGCCUAAUACAUGCAAGUAGAACGCUGAAGGCGGAGCUUGCUCUUCUGGAUGAGUUGCGAACGGGUGAGUAACGCGUAGGUAACCUGCCUGGUAGCGGGGGAUAACUAUUGGAAACGAUAGCUAAUACCGCAUAAGAGUAGAUGUUGCAUGACAUUUACUUAAAAGGUGCACUUGCUUCACUACUAGAUGGCCCUGCGUUGUAUUAGCUAGUUGGUGGGGUAACGGCUUACCAAGGCGACGAUACAUAGCCGACCGGCGAGGGGGAUAGGCCUAGCUGGGAUGAGGACACGGCCCAGAACACUACGGGAGGCAGCAGUAGGAGAUCCUCGGGGAAGGAAGGAGGGCUGAACGAGGGACGACGCGUGAGAGAAGGAGGUUGUCAGGUCGUAAAACUCAGUUGUAAGAGAAGAACGAGUGUGAGAGUGGAAAGUGCACACUGUGACGGUACCUUACCAGAAAGGGACGGCUAACUACGUG
RNAcentral lists this ribosomal RNA (495 nucleotides) under uncultured bacterium. RNAcentral describes it as "partial 16S ribosomal RNA". It matches the Rfam family "Bacterial small subunit ribosomal RNA", at positions 28 to 507 of the family's 1533-position model. The record is from RNAcentral.